Molecule: ribosomal RNA, 570 nt
Filed under: Enterobacter asburiae
Lineage: Bacteria; Pseudomonadati; Pseudomonadota; Gammaproteobacteria; Enterobacterales; Enterobacteriaceae
Description: partial 16S ribosomal RNA
Source: RNAcentral
UCUUUUGCACCCACUCCCAUGGUGUGACGGGCGGUGUGUACAAGGCCCGGGAACGUAUUCACCGUAGCAUUCUGAUCUACGAUUACUAGCGAUUCCGACUUCAUGGAGUCGAGUUGCAGACUCCAAUCCGGACUACGACGCACUUUAUGAGGUCCGCUUGCUCUCGCGAGGUCGCUUCUCUUUGUAUGCGCCAUUGUAGCACGUGUGUAGCCCUACUCGUAAGGGCCAUGAUGACUUGACGUCAUCCCCACCUUCCUCCAGUUUAUCACUGGCAGUCUCCUUUGAGUUCCCGGCCGGACCGCUGGCAACAAAGGAUAAGGGUUGCGCUCGUUGCGGGACUUAACCCAACAUUUCACAACACGAGCUGACGACAGCCAUGCAGCACCUGUCUCAGAGUUCCCGAAGGCACCAAUCCAUCUCUGGAAAGUUCUCUGGAUGUCAAGAAUAAGUAAGGUUCUUCGCGUUGCAUCGAAUUAAACCACAUGCUCCACCGCUUGUGCGGGCCCCCGUCAAUUCAUUUGAGUUUUAACCUUGCGGCCGUACUCCCCAGGCGGUCGACUUAACGCGUUA